Non-coding RNA from Coturnix japonica (Japanese quail), 336 nucleotides. The record is from RefSeq and is a predicted model, not a curated record. Lineage: Eukaryota; Metazoa; Chordata; Aves; Galliformes; Phasianidae.
UACAAGUUUAUAUGAAGAAGAGGCUAACUUUUUGAGCACUAAGUUGGCGCAGCUACUCAUAGGAUGAGAAGGAGAUGGCAGAUGGUAGAUGGCUACUUAUUUUCUCUGUGGUACAGAUAACCAGAAUCUUUUUUUUCCUCUACUUCUGUUAUCCAAACACAGUAACUGACAACUGCAAGAGGUAUAAAGCAAGUCAGAAAAUAUACAGCCAUAACAACAAGUGUAAAUUUCUUGUGGAGAUAUGCUAGCAAGUCAAUACCCAGAUGCCAGGAAAACACAUUUAAAAGGCAAAUACUUAUGCAAUGAAAUAUAUGACAGCAUGGAUGCAAAGAUAUA